CUACAGCUAUUUUCAGUUGUUAGACUGAAACGUCCUUUUCAUCUCUGCAAUCUCAUUCAGUCCCUUAGCAUUGUGGGGAUGCAGGCAAACCACUAUAAAUAACUGAACCUUUUUGUGUCAGCUGGUACAAAUACCAGCCACUUCGAACAAUCUGACCUUUCUUGGGGAUUCUGACCAAUCUGCAGUGGAAGUUGGCUGAUAUCUUUCAGGAUUUUCCGCAGUUAAGGAAAUGAGUGCCUGAGGUGGAAUGAUCUUGUGGGGGAACUGAGCAAGAUGCAAUUUAAUGCCUCCCCUCUCAGAGUCAGAGAGCAUCCAGCCUGGGAGAGAGAAGCUGAUAGCCCACAACUGCCAUGUCCCCAAAGGGGUUGUACUUCAGAUUCUUGGGAACAUGACCCAUGAAGCCCAAUAACAAAGGCAGUCAGGCUGGUGACUCAAACUGGAGACUUCCCUGUCAUCUCAGCCUCGCUGCUCCACUCCUCUGACUACCUCCAAGCCCUGCAGAGCACUGCUCUCCCUCCUCAGUGGAAUUCUGUAAUCCCUGGUGAUGACCCGCUGCCCAUGAUCCACAGUUGGCAUCAGUUACAGAAGACUUCUGGAAGAGAGCACUGAAGUGUUUGGGUUUGGUGGGAUGGGGUGGCAGGGAGGGAAACAAAUUAGAAGCACGGGAGCUUGGCAUCUAACACAGAGCCCUGAGGGUGUCAGGUUUGGAUGAACAACUGCUCUAUCACAGUGUCUGUGUAACUGAAACUCUGUCCAAAGAACAGAGUUUGUUCAAGGUUUUUCUCUUCUUGCACUGCUUUUCCUAUUUCCCUCUUGUUUUCCCAGAAAUGGAACAUGACAUUUAUUUUUAUGGACAGCAUGAUCUUAUGGCUAUUCCCCUGUGAUGGAGUAAUCUGAACACAAUUAUGUUCUGUUGACAAAAAGUGAUAAAAGUGUAUUGUGUCAACACUCUGAACUAACAGAUUUGUCAUCUGCUCUACUCCCAGAAAAUAGAAACAGAAUUAGAAAAUGCUCUGACAGACUCUACCCUUUCCUAUGCUUAGGUAAACCCCAGCUCUGUGCUUGAUUACUGUACUUCAGCAUUCUCCCUCUUCCAGAAAGAUCUGCCUGGUUUUAAAUUCAAGUGUAAAUUUUGUUUUGAUGGACUCUUUUUGGCAGCUUAUAGCUUGUACUCUCUAACAUUUCAUUUCAGUUCUACUAUUACCAUUCCUUUCCAUGGCUUUGAAAAAUCCAGCUUUUUUUGUAUCUUUUUUUCCCCCAUGCAAACUUCUUUCUAGAUAAUGUAUUUGACAAUAUUAUCUGUGUUGUAUCUUCCCUCCAGCUGACUUUCACUUGAGUUCAUGGACAGAAAUCUGCCUGGACUCUUGUUUUCCUGAGAAGACUCCCACAUUCUGCCCAACAUGUAGGGCCAGCCCCAAACACAUGCAAAUUUUCAGUGAAAAGAUGUGCACACAUCAUAACAUAAACCAACAUCCCCUGCUAGGUUUGAAGACAAGUUUGCACUUCCAACUCUUGGUUAGUUGGAUGACAAUUACUGCUUAAGAACUAAAAGAAUGAUUAAAUCCUUCAAGCAAAAUAGAAGAAGCUUUUUCAUGG
Long non-coding RNA from Lepidothrix coronata (blue-crowned manakin), 1596 nucleotides. RefSeq lists it as uncharacterized. The transcript has 2 exons. The record is from RefSeq and is a predicted model, not a curated record. NCBI's taxonomy places the organism in Eukaryota, Metazoa, Chordata, Aves, Passeriformes, Pipridae.